Molecule: long non-coding RNA, 372 nt
Filed under: Mytilus galloprovincialis (Mediterranean mussel)
Lineage: Eukaryota; Metazoa; Mollusca; Bivalvia; Mytilida; Mytilidae
Source: RNAcentral
UGUUGGAAUUAUUAUAUCUUCUAUUAGUAGUUUAGAUAACAUGAAAUAUAGACAUACUGUGAUAUAUACCUAUCCAUUGAUUUUUAGAUAUAGCACGCCUUUAAUCUACAUUGCUCUGAACCUAGUAAAUAGCAUUACUGUUUUGUAGUUAUGUUCGGAAUACACUAAGUGUUUUCGUCUCUAGAGAUGUUCCUGUCCCGUCCUAGUAUUCAUUCAGAUGUCUAUCACUGACAAUUACAAGAUAAUCAAGGCGAUUUGACCGACUAGAUAAAACAUAAUAGCGUUAAAUACGACCACAAGAUGUCUCUUCAAGUUUCGGUUCUCCGGAGAAUUUAGUUUUACAAUAGUCACAAAAAGUCAUGGCAGUAGUAU